This 497-nucleotide ribosomal RNA is filed under the name uncultured bacterium. RNAcentral describes it as "partial 16S ribosomal RNA". It matches the Rfam family "Bacterial small subunit ribosomal RNA", at positions 28 to 507 of the family's 1533-position model. The record is from RNAcentral.
GAUGAACGCUGGCGGCGUGCCUAAUACAUGCAAGUCGAGCGAACGGACGAGAAGCUUGCUUCUCUGAUGUUAGCGGCGGACGGGUGAGUAACACGUGGAUAACCUACCUAUAAGACUGGGAUAACUUCGGGAAACCGGAGCUAAUACCGGAUGAUAUUUUGAACCGCAUGGUUCAAAAGUGAAAGACGGUCUUGCUGUCACUUAUAGAUGGAUCCGCGCUGCAUUAGCUAGUUGGUAAGGUAACGGCUUACCAAGGCAACGAUGCAUAGCCGACCUGAGAGGGUGAUCGGCCACACUGGAACUGAGACACGGUCCAGACUCCUACGGGAGGCAGCAGUAGGGAAUCUUCCGCAAAGGGCGAAAGCCUGACGGAGCAACGCCGCGUGAGUGAUGAAGGUCUUCGGAUCGUAAAACUCUGUUAUUAGGGAAGAACAUAUGUGUAAGUAACUGUGCACAUCUUGACGGUACCUAAUCAGAAAGCCACGGCUAACUACGUA